CGGGAUGGACAUACCUCUGGUGUACCAGUUGUCGUGCCAACGGCAUAGCUGGGUAGCUAUGUGUGGACGGGAUAAGUGCUGAAAGCAUCUAAGCAUGAAGCCCCCCUCAAGAUGAGAUUUCCCAACUUCGGUUAUAAGAUCCCUCAAAGAUGAUGAGGUUAAUAGGUUCGAGGUGGAAGCAUGGUGACAUGUGGAGCUGACGAAUACUAAUCGAUCGAAGACUUGAUCAA
RNAcentral lists this ribosomal RNA (230 nucleotides) under Staphylococcus aureus. Its description in RNAcentral is "partial 23S ribosomal RNA". It matches the Rfam family "Bacterial large subunit ribosomal RNA", at positions 2693 to 2925 of the family's 2925-position model. Lineage: Bacteria; Bacillati; Bacillota; Bacilli; Caryophanales; Staphylococcaceae. The record is from RNAcentral.